CUUUGUUUGAGGAGUCAUUUGGACUGUUAGAUUAGAAUCCAAUCAAUGGUUGGAUGCCAAUGUAUAAAUAUUGUUUUUGCUACCCUAUUCAUCAGUUCUUAGGGUUUGCACUGUGUAUGUAUUUUGUGACUUUUCCUCUCUCUUUUGUGUUCAUCUUUCAAUCUCUGAUUGGAAAUUGGUUCUCUCGGAUUCUUUGUAGUAAUCUUGAUACUUCGUGUACUAAAAAGAGGUGGUGUGAGUUAAUCCGUCCUCGUGGCUUCCUUUAAUCAAUAAAGGGAUGCUUGAGGAUUUGGGUUAGGAUUUUGGUCACAGAGAUGGGUACAAUUCGUUUUGUUCGAAGCCCCAUUGAAAUAUCUUCAUUCUUGAUGCCUUGGAUGUAUCUUGAGACUGAUAAAGAAACUCUUGUAUUUUUUAAAGUUUCUGUAAUUUUUCUUAAGUUCAAUGAAUGUUUCAGUCCAAUACUUUGUAUAACAUAGCCAGAUGAAAAAUGCUUGAGUAUGGUAAGGUCCUUACCUUGGUCCAGUGGAUUGAACAUGUAUUUCGUGCAAGAGAUGGGCUUCCGAGGAUUUACUCGAGCCCGAGAGGGUGAUGAUAUAGGCGGCAAUUCUGCUGGCAAUUGUGUUGAUUUGAUUCUGAGAGGACUUUUAAUCACUGCUUUGAAUUUUUUUUGCUCUUCCAUGCAUAGGUUCUUGUUUGAUGACAGGCAAGAGGAGCAAAGACCAGAAUAAGCACAAAAACAACAUACUCAAUCCUAGUAAAAAAACACGAUUUUUGACAGCAGCUGGAAGCCAGGCUAUUAGCAAAUAAGGGAUUGGCAUCAUUUCCAUGAAGAGCAUGGUAAAACUGUCAUAAUUGCACAACUUAAACCAACAAAACCUUUUGAAAGACCACUCUUGCGGAAAUUCUUAACGCAAGUAAUCAAAGUCUGUGUUUGCAAAAGCCCAUGACUGGCUCCAAUCCAUAUGUGCAAGCACAUUUUCCGUGCAGGGGGUUCUGCAGCCCGACCAAUCACAACUAACCAUAUCAUGAAGUAGUCGAAGAAGUUUCAUUAACAAGCCCAGAUAUGAUUCCGAGGUUCCCUCCCAAGUCCUUGAAGCUCACUAAGUUAAGCGAUGUCUGAAAAAAUCCUAACGAAGACUUGAUGUCAUUAAGAGUAUACACCAAGUAUGUUGCACCAUUUACGCACAUUAUUAGGAUCGAAGCAAAGAUUGGGAACCAUCAACUGGACAGCAUGCGGAAUCUAAAGCCCACUGUCCGUCUCCAAAAAUCAUCACCACCACUGAGAUUAGCCAUUGUCGAAUUUCUAGUUAUUUUAAUCCUUUCGGUACAUUUAACAAUGUAAGUAAACGACGUGACGUUAGUUAUUUGUAUAUUGAUAGGAAUGAGUCAAUUUAUUAACGCUUCAUCUAUUCAUAAUAGAAAUGAGAUUAUACA
This is a long non-coding RNA of Olea europaea var. sylvestris, 1434 nucleotides long. RefSeq lists it as uncharacterized. The transcript has 2 exons. NCBI's taxonomy places the organism in Eukaryota, Viridiplantae, Streptophyta, Magnoliopsida, Lamiales, Oleaceae. The record is from RefSeq and is a predicted model, not a curated record.